AGAAGGAUAGUUAAAUAUAACAUUUUCAUUGCAGGAAAAAAGUAUUGUAAAAAUUCAAUUCCUUUUA
RNAcentral lists this transfer RNA (67 nucleotides) under Sivaloka damnosus. Its description in RNAcentral is "tRNA-Ala". The record is from RNAcentral. Lineage: Eukaryota; Metazoa; Arthropoda; Insecta; Hemiptera; Issidae.